RNAcentral lists this microRNA precursor (111 nucleotides) under Lepisosteus oculatus (spotted gar). RNAcentral describes it as "miRNA (ENSLOCG00000019494.1)". The stretch from base 6 to 82 matches the Rfam family "mir-17 microRNA precursor family". Rfam says of the family: This family represents the microRNA (miRNA) precursor mir-17, family, which includes mir-20, mir-91, and mir-103. miRNAs are transcribed as ~70nt precursors (modelled here) and subsequently processed by the Dicer enzyme to give a ~22nt product. In this case the mature sequence comes from the 3' arm of the precursor. The record is from RNAcentral. Lineage: Eukaryota; Metazoa; Chordata; Actinopteri; Semionotiformes; Lepisosteidae.
GAGUUUCAGCAGUAUUAAAGUGCUUAUAGUGCAGGUAGUUUUUAGUGACCUACUGCAGUAUGAGCACUUGAAGUACUUCUAGCUAAGUGCGUCGGACUUAAAUUUGUUGCU